This 402-nucleotide ribosomal RNA is filed under the name uncultured bacterium. Its description in RNAcentral is "bacterial SSU rRNA". It matches the Rfam family "Bacterial small subunit ribosomal RNA", at positions 30 to 432 of the family's 1533-position model. The record is from RNAcentral.
AUUGAACGCUGGCGGCAUGCUUUACNCAUGCAAGUCGAACGGCAGCACGGGGGGCAACCCUGGUGGCGAGUGGCGAACGGGUGAGUAAUGCAUCGGAACGUAUCUUCAAGUGGGGGAUAACGCAUCGAAAGAUGCGCUAAUACCGCAUAAUCUCUGAGGAGAAAAGCAGGGGAUCGCAAGACCUUGCGCUUCUGGAGCGGCCGAUGUCUGAUUAGCUAGUUGGUGGGGUAAAGGCUUACCAAGGCUUCGAUCAGUAGCUGGUCUGAGAGGACGACCAGCCACACUGGGACUGAGACACGGCCCAGACUCCUACGGGAGGCAGCAGUGGGGAAUUUUGGACAAUGGGGGAAACCCUGAUCCAGCCAUGCCGCGUGAGUGAAGAAGGCCUCGGUUGUAAGUACU